AGAAAGAUGUUCCAAUAGAACAGCUGCUAACAAAGUUCUCUUCUAUAGAUAGCCCUGUACUUCCUUGUUUAUGUUAUACUCCACUGGAUGCUUGCUGAAUGUUAAAGUUGGACCAAAUAUUUCAUGUAAAGCACCAUACAUUGCAGAGGGUUGACUUCCAGAUUUUUGGAAUAUCUUAAAAUGGAGAUCUCUCGGUGAGUGUCCAGUAGCGAUGAACUGAAUCUGCCACUAGAUGUCACCGAAUUUUCAAACAAAUGGCUUUAAAGAACAUUUCAGUGCAAGUUGGCUUGAACCCAAGGCAUUUGUGCUGUUUUCCCUGGCAUCCACAGGAAUUAUCUGGGGUCUAAUGAUCACUUGUCUGAGAAAGCUUGCAAGAAGACUUCAUGGAUUUUGUGGAAAAGGUUUGAAAGAUGGAAAGAAAGUGAAACCACUGAAAUACCGUUGUCCCAACCUGUCUUCUGCUUAGGUAAGAUGCCUGGGCUUUUCCUAUGUCACCUUUGGAUUAUGGAAAUCUUGGGUC
RNAcentral lists this long non-coding RNA (520 nucleotides) under Fukomys damarensis (Damara mole-rat). Its description in RNAcentral is "lncRNA (ENSFDAG00000024791.1)". The record is from RNAcentral. Lineage: Eukaryota; Metazoa; Chordata; Mammalia; Rodentia; Bathyergidae.